UUUUACUUGUUUCUCUCCUCCAUCUCUUAAUUUCGAUUGUUUCCAUCCCGGCACAACAAAGAAGAACCAUUAGAGAAUUCCCAAUAUGGCAGUGUGCAGGAACAUCUCUGGACCAUUGUGUCCACAGUGGCACAGGAGAACAACCUUCUCCAGAGUCUGUCUGAUGCAGUGAAAUGUCCUGUUUAUUUGAUGGAAGGAAUGAGAAAGGUACUCUACAAAGGAGCAAGGUC
Molecule: long non-coding RNA, 230 nt
Filed under: Dromaius novaehollandiae (emu)
Lineage: Eukaryota; Metazoa; Chordata; Aves; Casuariiformes; Dromaiidae
Description: lncRNA (ENSDNVG00000006868.1)
Source: RNAcentral